Acanthosepion pharaonis is the source of this 83-nucleotide non-coding RNA. Lineage: Eukaryota; Metazoa; Mollusca; Cephalopoda; Sepiida; Sepiidae. The record is from the annotation of a GenBank genome assembly.
ACUGGUUCCCAUAUGAUCACCAAAGUUAAGCAAUGUCUAGUCUAGUCAGUACUUAGAUGGGUGACUGCUUGGGAAUACCAGGU